Molecule: ribosomal RNA, 197 nt
Filed under: uncultured bacterium
Lineage: Bacteria
Description: partial 16S ribosomal RNA
Rfam family: Bacterial small subunit ribosomal RNA
Source: RNAcentral
ACGCUCGACACCUACAGGAGGCAGCAGUGGGGAAUAUUGCACAAUGGGGGAAACCCUGAUGCAGCGACGCCGCGUGAGCGAAGAGUAUUUCGGUAUGUAAAGCUCUAUCAGCAGGGAAGAAAAUGACGGUACCUGACUAAGAAGCCCCGGCUAACUACGUGCCAGCAGCCGCGGUAAUCUGAGCGGGCUGGCAAGGC